CUUGUGUUCUUUAACUGUCUGGUAGAUGCCUACGGGAGGAUGGAGAAGUUUGCAGAGAUGAAAGGUGUUCUCGAAUUAAUGGAGAAGAAGGGAGUUAAACCUGAUAAGAUUACAUACAGGACAAUGGUUAAGGCUUACAGAAUUAGUGGCAUGACUAGCCAUGUUAAGGAACUUGAUGGUGUGGUCGAGUCCGUUGGUGAAGCUCAAGUUGUGUUGAAGAAGCCGGACUUUUAGCCGAAGAAUAUAGCUUAAUUUUCUGGUAUAUUUAUAUAUCUACUAGCCAAGGAAUGUAGUUAGUAUGAGAGUAUUGUAAAUACAUUUCAUUUCGCUUACAAAACUUUGUAACACAAAAACAGAAAGCAAAAAAAAAGUGAUACAAGUAUAGUUCUCUACUCUUGUUUGUGAUAUAUGUUUAUAUGUCUGUAUGUCCUGAAGCAGCUAGAUAUGAGAGUUGAAGGCUGUACGCUUCUUUCAGCUGAGUCAAAACUUCCGCAAUAGAUGGCCUGCUAGAUGCAUCUCUCCCCACACAUCUUAUAGCCACAGAAGCAGCUUUUUUCAUGCUCUCUGGAUCAAAUGUUCCCUUCAAGACAUCAUCCACAAUCUCAAAUGCUCCUGCUUGUAAGUUUGGCCUUGCCUGCACAUAAGUAUUUCGAUAUUUUGUCACACUGUGUACUUAGACACUGGGAGAUGAUAAAAGAAAGACGGACAUGUUAAUCUUACCCAUAAGACUAAGUUAAAAGAAUCUGGUGAUCCCGAGUGACUUAAGGGUUCUCUUCCACAGAUGAGCUCCAACAGAACCACACCAAAGCUAUAGACAUCACUUUUCUCUGUCAGCUGCAGGGUAGAGUAAUAUCUGGAAGGAAAAGUAUGAUUAAUGAUUAGUUAAUGAAAAUGUUUAUCCGUCACGAAUGCUGAGAGAUGGUUACAGUAGAUUUUACUCAGGGUCAAGGUAGCCUGCAGUGCCUUUAACAACAGUAGUAAUAUGAGAUGCAUCUGCUUUUGUAAACUGUUUUGAUAGGCCGAAGUCAGAAACUUUUGCGUUCAUAUCCUUGUCCAGAAGUAUGUUGCUGCACUUUACAUCCCGGUGUAUAAUUCUUGGCUCACUUCCAUUGUGCAGGUAGUCCAGCCCUUCAUGAACAAGACGGAAUGUUACUAUCUGCCAGAAUCAAAUGUGUGUUUAGUACUAAUGACUGAUGUUGAAGAUUUACCUUUUGCAGCAUCAACUGCAACCUUUAGUCUUGAAACCCAGUUCAGUGAAAGUCUUUUACGACUUGGACCUGCAGAAGCAAGAUAGCACAGAACGCUAUAAAUUUGAGAGGAAGAUGGUUUUGGAAAAGGAUGAUGAGCAUUCGGUAGAUACUUGGGGAUUUGCAUACCGUAAAGAUGAUCAGCUAAUGAUCCACCAGGCAGAUACUCAUAUACUAGUAUUUGCCGUUUUGGUUCGUAGCAGAAGCCCUCGAAGGUAACUAGAUUUUGGUGGCGUAUCUGAGACAAAAGGUGCACCUAGAAGUAGACAGUACAAAGGGAGACAUUAGAUCGAAGCACUCGGAUCACUAAAGAUGAAUUUGAAUGCAUAAUAUUCAAAUUAAAGCUUAACCUCGUUGAUGAAAGAAUCAGCUCCAAGUUGAGUUUUAUCAAAUCUCACUUUGACAGCAACUUGUUUUCCAUCUGGUAGUUUCCCAUGGUAUACAGAUCCAAAACUUCCACGGCCAAUCACUUCCUUGAAGCUCCUUGUAGCUGUCUUGAUCUCUUUGUGAGAAAAGAUUCUUGAAGUGUUCCAGUUCUGCAUCUUCAGUUGUUCUCCUGAUCCAGAUUUUGAUAACUAUUAAGAAUCAUAAAGCCACAAACUAUGUGGGAGCAAAAAAAGAAAGCGUUUGUUCCCCCAUACUGGUUAUAUCUCUCUCUUUGUUUCUCUGUCUCCUCGUGAAGAUCGACAUGAAAACAAAGAUGAGGAGAGUGGCAAACAAGGCGCCACCAGAAACUCCUAGCAAGAUCGCUACACGGUUUUGCUUCUUGUGUUUCUUAUUGGUUGGGAUAGUGACUUGUGGUGUGUCAAUUGUUGAAGAGACAUUGUUGCAUGAUGACGAAGUGAACGAAAGGCAUGGGUUCCCCGUUGUCCUGAUAGAAAGCAAAUCAGUAACACUAGAACUCAAGACUAGAAUGGCGGUAAGACAGAAACUAUAUACCUUACUUCCAGAUCCGUUCUGUUAAGUGACUGUGGCAAGGGGCCUACUAAGUUAUUGUUUUCCAGAUUCCUAAUCCUUUACUCCGACAGCAUGGUUCUGGUUUGAUAAUUGGUCGCCUUUUGGAAGCAUUGCUACCUAUCUCAACUUGACUGGCUCAAGACUUGUUGCAAGACUGCUUCAUUCAAUGUGGGGUUUUUGACCUGAGAUACAAUGGACCCCCGCAUACCUGGACCAACUAUCAGCCUUCUUACCCGAUUGGAAAAAAACUUGACCGUCUCCUUGUAAACUCCCCCACAAUCUCCUCCCAUCCUCAGGCUUUUGCCUCCUUCCUACCUCAGUUGUUCUCUGAUCACUCGCCUUGCCUGCUAGACCUCGCUUUUACCCUACCUAAAGCUGGAACUAAACCCUUCAAAUUCCAAAACUACCUCACCAAACAUCCCAACUUUCUGGAGGUGGUUUCACGCGCAUGGGUUGAGGCCGGAAACAUUUGUUCGACUCUGACACAGCUUUGUUGGAAACUGAAAAUCAUAAAGAGUGACUUAAAAAAUUUAAAUAGAGAGAACUAUUCUAAAAUUCAAGAGAGAGUUGCUGACACUUACAGUUUGCUUCAAUGUGCGCAGGUACUAGCUCUUCAAUCCCCAACACCGCUUCUGUUCCAACAAGAACGUGAUCUACAUCAAAAGUGGCUGUUCCUAAGACAAAUUGAAGAGAGUUACUUCAGGCAGAAAUCCCGGAUAAACUGGUUAAGUGAAGGUGAUUUCAAUACUACCUUCUUUCACCGCAUGUGUCAAGUUAGAGAAAGCUACAAUGCUAUCCGGUCGUUCCUGUCCAGCAAUGGAAUCCUGGUUACUGACCCGAUGGAAAUGAGUGAACUAGCGGUAGAGCACUUCAAAGCGAUUCUAGGUUCGUCAAACUACUUGAGACCUGCUAUCUGGUCCCCUCACUCCUGGUUUGCGGAUCUCAUUCAGUUCAGAUGUUCCCUGCAACAAUCCCAGCUAAUGUUAUCAGUACCAAGUGCUGAUGCAAUAAGAGCAAUGUUCUUCAAGCUAAACCCAAAUAAAGCUCCUGGGCCUGACGGAUUAACCUCUGGUUUCUACAAAGCAAGUUGGGAAACUAUAGGGCGAGAGGUGGUGGCUGCAACACAAAAUUUUUUCCAUUCUGGGUUCCUUCCUACCACAACUAAUGCCACCAUUCUUUCCCUCAUACCAAAGUUUCCGGGUGCUACAAAAGUUUCAGAUUACAGGCCAAUUGCUUGUCUAAACACAGUUUAUAAGGUGAUUUCAAGGAUGUUGGUUGCGAGAUUAAAGCCUAUCCUGCAAGACCUAAUUCUACCUUGCCAAACGGCGUUUGUGAAAGAUCGCUUGCUAGUGGAAAAUACUGUUCUAGCUGGGGAGUUAGUUCAUGGCUAUCAUAAGAACAAAGGAAUUCCGAGAAUUACCAUCAAAGUAGACAUCACCAAGGCUUUCGAAACUCUCUCCUGGGUUUCCUCUUCACUUGUCUUGAAACUCUACACCUGCCUCCUCAUUUCAUCACCUUGCUCAGGGCUUGUGUCUGCAAAACAAGUUUCAUGGUUGGUUACAAUGGAACGGUCAACGGUUAUUUCAAAGGCAAAAGAGGCCUGAGACAGGGAGACCCUCUUUCUCCCUAUCUUUUUGUAAUCGCCAUGAACUGCCUCUCUUUUAUGCUAAACUCUGCAGCUGCUCAGGAAAAAAUCAAAUACCAUGCUAACUGUAAGAAGAUGAAGAUGACGCACCUAUCAUUUGCUGAUGAUCUCCUCAUUUUCAUAGACGGCUCGAUCGAAUUUGUCCAACAGGUGCUGCAUGUUCUUAAAGAGUUUGAGCAAAGGUCCGGGCUCGCAAUAAGUAUGCAGAAAUCGAGCUUCUUUGCCUCAGGGCUCCCUGACCAAGUCAUUGACACAAUCCAAGCUUCUACUGGUAUGAUCUGCGGAGAGCUCCCGAUUCGCUACCUAGGGGUGCCUUUGAAUUCCAGAAAGUUAAACCUUGUCAGCUGUGAACCUCUGAUCCAUCAAAUAAAAAAGAGACUUUCCUCAUGGUCAGUCAAAUCCUUAUCUUUCGCUGGAAGACUACUGCUAAUAAAAACAGUGAUAGCAGGAAUUACUACCUUUUGGUGCUCGGCUUUCAUUCUUCCCAAAGCUUGCGUGAACCGGAUAAACUCUUUAUGUAGUGUGUUUCUUUGGAAAGGGGAUAUCACAAGCCACAACACCGCAAGGGUAGCUUGGGAGACUGUCGUGUUAACUAAGCAGCAAGGUGGUCUUGGUGUAAAGGACCUCCAAACAUGGAACAAAGCAUGCUGUUUGAAACUUGUGUGGCUUCUGUUUUUCAGGUCUGGCUCGAUCUGGGUUGCAUGGUUUAUAGAGGUAAUCCUUAAAGGCUCAAUACACAACUAUUGGACAACCAAACCGAAGGCUUCCUUCUCCUGGCUCGCAAACAAGUUGCUCAAGCUCAAAGAUGUAGUCUUCCCGCUCAUCAAGCUUCGACUGGAGAAUGGUAUGUCGGCACGGUUCUGGUUUGAUAAUUGGUCGCCUUUUGGAAGCAUUGCUACCUAUCUCAACUUGACUGGCUCAAGACUUGGCAUCCCACUAUCUGCAACGGUAGCUUCUCUCUAUAGGAACGGUAACUGGCGUCUCCCACCUGCAAGAUCAGAGCAACAAACCCAACUUCAGAUUCACUUGACGACUGUCAAUUUAACUUCAGAUAAAGACUACUUCGAAUGGGAAAUUGAUAGUAGGGUCACCACCACCUUCUCAACUGGUGAUGUCUAUACCUAUCUUAGAGGAACAGUGAAUGAGGUUGACUGGGCUACUGUGGUUUGGAACUCUUAUGGGAUCCCUCGUCACAACUUCCACACAUGGCUAAUGAUUUUGGAUAGGUGCCCGACGAGAGACCGCUUGCUUCGUUGGGGAAUCUCAGUUUCACAUCUCUGCUUGCUGUGUAACAAUGCUUCUGAGAGCCGUGAUCACAUCUAUUUCGACUGUAACUUCUCCUUCGACUUAUGGGCAAUAAGCGCGAGGAGAUGUGGGCUCACUCCAAACCGUUCCUGGUCAGACACCAUCACGCAACUGAAAAGCCUCCCAAUGGACCGUUCAUCGAGACCUCAUAGACUUCUUGUCCUCCUAGCUUGGCAAUCUACGAUUUAUUGGGUCUGGAAUGAGAGAAACGCACGGUUGCACUCUAACACCUAUCGCUCCAUCGACUUUCUCUUCAAAACUAUUGAUCUUCAGAUUAGAAACAGAACUCAGAGUUUCCGGGUGACUAACCCAAGACUGUCUUCCCAACUACUACAGUCCUGGAUCCGACUUGCAUGAUUUAAAUCAGGUCCCGAUCUUCCCUCUGAAAUCUCCGCCUCACCCCAAUUCUUUCUGCGUCUUUUGGAAGAAGAAGACAAACUGUUGUUCGGUUUACUCCAACUUUGAUUUUGGUAAUACGGGCCAUAUAUCCGUUCCAAACUAUGAGUUUUUUAGUGGGUUUGUAUUUUUAACUUAAGUCCAACGGGCUUGUAAACGUUUUUAUUUUUCUUUGCAGUUAAUUUGAAAGCCAAUUUUCAAAAAAAAAACAUACAUAAUUAGAUUUUACUAAUAAUUUUCUUUUUGUAUUGUUAUCUGAAAUUUAACACAUGUAUAUACUAUUACAUUAUUAUUUUUAGUUAGAAAAAGGAAACUCGUAGUAGUAAACGAUCCCACUUUGGUCAUUUAUUCUCUGUCAUGUGAGACCCCCUUUUGACAGAAGUCACGUGAAAACAUAUCGAUGUUCUGAAAUCAAUCAAACCAUCAAUAAAUAUCCACACGUCGUAUCUUUUUCAAAUACGAAUUGAUUUGAUAUCAUGUCGAUCUCAUGGAACAGAGGUUGUCUAUGAUCCAUUUUUAUUGGAACACUUCUAUAGUUCUAUGAUCCUUUCAUUUGAGUGUAAUUGAGAUUUGAAAAUCCUCCAAGUCUGUAGACCCUUUUGGUUAUUUGGGCCUGGCCCAAUAAUAUUCUGAAAAGCUUUCCAUUUUCCCUUUUUUCUGAUCCUUGAAAAUAAUGGUCCAAAUGGUUUCGCUCUCCACCUCCACGAGCCACGCUCAUCUACCCCCGUCGGCGUACAACCGCCGGCCGGCGGAGAGGAAAGUUACCGUGCGAUGCGUAUCCUUUUCCCCGCGCGAGCCUAAACAUACGAGUAACGACUCCUUCGUGGCGCUUAGAGAGACUAGGCAGAGAAAAUGGGUGAAGAGCACGGAGGAGAGAUACUCGAAGGAGAUUCAAGAUGAAAUGAACUCCAAAAUCGCGUCUAGGAAAGCGAUAUCGAUAAUACUCCGAAGAGAAGCCACAAAGGCGAUAAUCGAGAAGAAGAAAGGACCAACCAACUCCAAGAAGCUUCUCCCAAGGACGGUGCUCGAGGCUCUCCACGAGCGAAUCACAGCUCUCCGAUGGGAAUCUGCUCUUCAGGUUUGUAAACUUCGUCUGCUCUCUCGACUUAUACUUUUUGUUAAUUUUUUUUUUUAAUUUUUGGGAUUUGAUUCUGUGUAAGGUGUUUGAGCUACUUCGAGAACAGCUAUGGUACAAACCUAACGUUGGCAUCUACGUCAAGCUCAUCGUCAUGCUUGGCAAAUGCAAGCAGCCUGAAAAGGCUCAUCAGCUCUUUCAAGAAAUGAUCGGUGAAGGCUGUGUGGUGAAUCAUGAAGUGUAUACUGCGCUUCUAUCUGCUUAUAGCAGGAGUGGACGAUUUGACGAUGCGUUUACUCUUCUGGAAGUUAUGAAAAGCAGUCAUAACUGUCAGCCCGAUGUGCAUACUUACUCCAUCCUCAUCAAGUCGUUUCUUCAGGUUUUUGCGUUUGAUGAGGUUCAGGCUCUGCUCGCUGACAUGAGAAGACUGGGUAUUAGGCCUAAUACAAUCACAUAUAAUACCCUCAUCGAUGCGUAUGGGAAAGCAAAAAUGUACUUUAGCACCCUUUUACUAUCCUUUUUGAGUUAUUAUGGUUUAGUUCAAAGCAUGUAUAAGCUGAGAUAGUUUGUUUUCUUUUUUGGAAGGUUUGUGGAGAUGGAAUCAACACUUAUCCAAAUGCUUGGAGAGGAUGACUGCAAGCCUGAUUCUUGGACCAUGAACUCAACACUUAGAGCCUUUGGUGGGAACGGGCAGAUAGAAAUGAUGGAGAAUUGUUACGAGAAGUUUCAGAGCUCUGGGAUCGAACCCAACAUCAGAACAUUCAAUAUCCUCCUUGAUUCGUAUGGGAAAACAGGAAACUACAAGAAGAUGAGCGCCGUGAUGGAGUUCAUGCAGAAGUACCACUACUCAUGGACCAUAGUCACAUACAAUGUGGUCAUUGACGCGUUCGGGAGGGCAGGAGACUUGAAACAAAUGGAAUAUUUGUUUAGGCUGAUGCAGUCGGAGAGGAUAAAACCAAGCUGUGUUACGCUGUGUUCUCUUGUUCGUGCGUAUGGAAGAGCUGGUAAAGCGGAUAAAAUUGGAGGAGUAUUGCGUUUCAUUGAGAACUCAGACGUAAGGUUGGACCUUGUGUUCUUUAACUGUCUGGUAGAUGCCUACGGGAGGAUGGAGAAGUUUGCAGAGAUGAAAGGUGUUCUCGAAUUAAUGGAGAAGAAGGGAGUUAAACCUGAUAAGAUUACAUACAGGACAAUGGUUAAGGCUUACAGAAUUAGUGGCAUGACUAGCCAUGUUAAGGAACUUGAUGGUGUGGUCGAGUCCGUUGGUGAAGCUCAAGUUGUGUUGAA
Molecule: long non-coding RNA, 7909 nt
Filed under: Brassica napus (rape)
Lineage: Eukaryota; Viridiplantae; Streptophyta; Magnoliopsida; Brassicales; Brassicaceae
Description: long non-coding RNA (BNAP_LNC020553)
Source: RNAcentral